AAUUUCAUCAAUCUUGUCGGA
Molecule: microRNA, 21 nt
Filed under: Picea abies (Norway spruce)
Lineage: Eukaryota; Viridiplantae; Streptophyta; Pinopsida; Pinales; Pinaceae
Description: pab-miR11414
Source: miRBase by way of RNAcentral